UAUAUUGAGCGCUCAUUAAAAUAUUUCAUUAAAGAACUGCCUUUUGGUUUCAAAAUGCUUUCGGAGCCAAGUCAGG
RNAcentral lists this transfer RNA (76 nucleotides) under Shewanella piezotolerans WP3. Its description in RNAcentral is "tRNA-His". The record is from RNAcentral. Lineage: Bacteria; Pseudomonadati; Pseudomonadota; Gammaproteobacteria; Alteromonadales; Shewanellaceae.